This 1140-nucleotide long non-coding RNA is filed under the name Drosophila guanche. Lineage: Eukaryota; Metazoa; Arthropoda; Insecta; Diptera; Drosophilidae. The record is from RNAcentral.
AAAAAAACAAAACAAAAGAGCAGAAAACUCACAAUAUUAUUGAACAAAUAACAAAAAGGGUAAUUCAAGCAUUAAAAAAGUAAUUAAAACGAUGAACAGUCUUGCCGGAUACCCCAGAAUGUCAUUUGCAGUACAAGUACAUGGAGGUAGGUACCAAACAGACAGCCGGUGUCGUCUGUCCCAUGAUAAUGGGAAUUUGGAUGAUAAUUUUGCAAUGUAAUUCAUUUUUGAUGUUUUCAGUCUGCAUCACCCUGAAGCGAGAGUUGAAUGACACGCAAUUGAGUUACCCAGAGAAACGACAAAGGCCAACAAUGCCGACCAUUAUGUGAGAGGAUGAACAGACGCACAUUGAUUACAGAGAAUGUGAGUAAAUCAGCGGUACGCAUUAAAAUGCUUAUUGGUUGCUUCUUUUACAACAGAGCACGUCAGCCGAUGGGCUCUAAAUCCGCAAAGAUGCCGCCGCCGAACGGCCUCUUCGAGAAUUCGUUGGUACUGCUGAAGCUGAACCUUUAUGCCAGGGCGACUCGGAACUAGCAAAGAUCCUGAGGUAGCGGAUAUGGAUGCGUCAACUGCUGGAGCUGGAUGAUCUGGUCUUGAACUAUGGCACUCAUUUAUUUCAUGGCGAAUUAACUCUGCCAACUACCCGGGAGUUCCUAUAACUACCUAGUUACGUACCUACGCAAGGUAUUUGGGAAGGUGCAUGUCCCAGCCCUACAGGUCCUUGACGUCAACGAGGUGCUGCAUGCCAUCGAGGGCUGAUCGCAUGUUGAGCUAUACAGCGAGCUUUAUAGUGUCCAGGCAGGCACUGAGAAGGUAAGUCGUUGAUUCUGCCAUCAGCUAUCUUUUUACAUAUUCCCGUUUUGUGUUUUUUUAGAAGGAGAAUGAGGAUCGUAGCCGAUAAACAGAUGGCCGAUGGGGAGCAAUUGGCCAACCAUGUGGUCUAGCUGGAGAGUGAAUGCCCCGUCAAUGCAACGUUCUUUCCGCAGAAGAUCGAACUAGGCAAUCGACUCUUUUUUGUGCUGCGAUCAGGAGUUCAAGAUCUCCAUGGAAGUGGCCGAUUUUCAUGUCGGUCUAGGUUAAGAUUACCAUAACACAUAACUGCCAAUAUUGUAAACAAAUAGAUUGAAAUAAGUUUGGUAU